UACGUAGGUGGCAAGCGUUGUCCGGAAUUAUUGGGCGUAAAGCGCUCGCAGGCGGUCCUUUAAGUCUGAUGUGAAAUCUCGUGGCUCAACCACGAACGGUCAUUGGAAACUGGGGGACUUGAGUACAGAAGAGGAGAGUGGAAUUCCACGUGUAGCGGUGAAAUGCGUAGAGAUGUGGAGGAACACCAGUGGCGAAGGCGACUCUCUGGUCUGUAACUGACGCUGAGGAGCGAAAGCGUGGGGAGCGAACAGG
RNAcentral lists this ribosomal RNA (253 nucleotides) under uncultured bacterium. Its description in RNAcentral is "partial 16S ribosomal RNA". It matches the Rfam family "Bacterial small subunit ribosomal RNA", at positions 524 to 776 of the family's 1533-position model. The record is from RNAcentral.